CAUCAAAAUAAUAUACAGAAAACAGCACUUAUGACCCAUUGUAUAAAAAGCAACCACACACCAAAUUUUGAUGAAACAACAAUCUUACAACAAGAACAACACUAUAACAAGCGACACACAUUGGAAAUGCUACACAUAAUUAACACACCAACCAACAAACGACUAAACUACAAGACAGACACAGAAAAUUGCGCUCACUUGUACAGACACCUCUUAAACAGCCAAACAACCUCAGUAACAAUCUCCACGUCAAAAAGCGCAGACGUGUAAAAUAAUUGCCCUGAAGACGGUUUGCCGAUGUGCAACCGAAAUAUAUCGGAAGAAAAUUAAAA
Drosophila novamexicana is the source of this 332-nucleotide long non-coding RNA. RefSeq lists it as uncharacterized. The record is from RefSeq and is a predicted model, not a curated record. The transcript has 2 exons. Lineage: Eukaryota; Metazoa; Arthropoda; Insecta; Diptera; Drosophilidae.